Molecule: ribosomal RNA, 482 nt
Filed under: uncultured bacterium
Lineage: Bacteria
Description: bacterial SSU rRNA
Rfam family: Bacterial small subunit ribosomal RNA
Source: RNAcentral
UUGAACGCUGGCGGCAUGCUUUACACAUGCAAGUCGAACGGCAGCGGGGGCUUCGGCCUGCCGGCGAGUGGCGAACGGGUGAGUAAUGCAUCGGAACGUGCCCAGUCAUGGGGGAUAACUACGCGAAAGCGUAGCUAAUACCGCAUACGCCCUGAGGGGGAAAGCGGGGGAUCGCAAGACCUCGCGUGAUUGGAGCGGCCGAUGUCGGAUUAGCUAGUUGGUGGGGUAAAGGCCUACCAAGGCGACGAUCCGUAGCGGGUCUGAGAGGAUGAUCCGCCACACUGGGACUGAGACACGGCCCAGACUCCUACGGGAGGCAGCAGUGGGGAAUUUUGGACAAUGGGGGCAACCCUGAUCCAGCCAUUCCGCGUGAGUGAAGAAGGCCUUCGGGUUGUAAAGCUCUUUCAGCAGGAGCGAAACGGUCGUUUUUAAUACAGACGGCUAAUGACGGUACCUGCAGAAGAAGCACCGGCUAACUACGU